RNAcentral lists this ribosomal RNA (236 nucleotides) under uncultured bacterium. Its description in RNAcentral is "partial 16S ribosomal RNA". It matches the Rfam family "Bacterial small subunit ribosomal RNA", at positions 118 to 347 of the family's 1533-position model. The record is from RNAcentral.
UGAGUAACCUGCCCUUCACUCUGGGAUAACUCCGGGGAAACCGGGGCUAAUACUGGAUAUGACUCGAACAGGCAUCUGUUUCGGGUGGAAAGAUUUAUUGGUGGAGGAUGGACUCGCGGCCUAUCAGCUUGUUGAUGAGGUAACGGCUCACCAAGGCGACGACGGGUAGCCGGCUGAGGAGGGCGAUCGGCCACACGUGGGACUGAGACACCGGCCCAGACCUCCGUACGGGAGCA